This 583-nucleotide ribosomal RNA is filed under the name uncultured Actinomycetes bacterium. RNAcentral's name for it is "bacterial SSU rRNA". It matches the Rfam family "Bacterial small subunit ribosomal RNA", at positions 848 to 1434 of the family's 1533-position model. The record is from RNAcentral. Lineage: Bacteria; Bacillati; Actinomycetota; Actinomycetes.
GCAGCUAACGCAUUAAGCGCCCCGCCUGGGGAGUACGAUCGCAAGAUUAAAACUCAAAGGAAUUGACGGGGCCCCGCACAAGCAGCGGAGCAUGCGGCUUAAUUCGACGCAACGCGAAGAACCUUACCAAGGCUUGAAAUAUACAGGAAUACGGCAGAGAUGUCGUAGCCGCAAGGUCUGUAUACAGGUGGUGCAUGGUUGUCGUCAGCUCGUGUCGUGAGAUGUUGGGUUAAGUCCCGCAACGAGCGCAACCCUCGUUCUGUGUUGCCAGCAUUUAGUUGGGGACUCACAGGAGACUGCCGGGGUUAACUCGGAGGAAGGUGGGGAUGACGUCAAAUCAUCAUGCCCCUUAUGUCUUGGGCUGCACGCAUGCUACAAUGGCUGGUACAAACGGCUGCAAUACCGCAAGGUGGAGCGAAUCCGAGAAAGCCAGUCUCAGUUCGGAUUGGGGUCUGCAACUCGACCCCAUGAAGUCGGAGUUGCUAGUAAUCGUAGAUCAGCAACGCUACGGUGAAUACGUUCCCGGGGCUUGUACACACCGCCCGUCACAUCACGAAAGUCGGUAACACCCAAAGUCAGUGGC